Molecule: long non-coding RNA, 3160 nt
Organism: Astatotilapia calliptera (eastern happy)
Lineage: Eukaryota; Metazoa; Chordata; Actinopteri; Cichliformes; Cichlidae
Source: Ensembl
UGUUAACCUCAAAACCUGAAGAAAAAUGUUGUCUGUAACAGAAGACUCUGUUAGGGACAACAUGCAGGAAGAAUGUAAAACGUGACAGACUUCAUUAUUUGACGUUUAAUGUAGCCUGUUUGCACAAAAAUAUAAUAGGUGUUUUGUGCAUAAGCAGGAUAGUAUUAUUUUAAUCCUGUGUUUUCACGGAUACGUGGAUGGUGAGAGGGGAGUGGCGCACACCGGAAAUUAGCCAACUAUUGCUCCUCCGGCUGCUUAUAGUUAGUCAUAGCCAUGGCGCCGGAUGAAAAAAUUGUAGAGUGGCAAACAAACGAGAUAAUUGAAUCGCUGUUUAACGACGAAAACAGUGCGAGGCCCCGUAUGAUAGAUGGUGAUUUGGAGACUGACAGUUCAGACGAUUUUGACCCGGUUAUAAUCGCUGAUAAACUGAGAGCUGUCGCCGAUACCCUGAAUAAGGACCCCAAUUUUAAAAAAGCAUUAGAUGAGCUGAAGAAAACCGCAGCAACAGAGGCUACAGAGGCUGCAUUUGAACGUGGCGUGGAGCUCCUAUGUAAGAGUCAUGUCGCUCAGAAAGCUGACAUUGCUCCAGAGAUGCAGCUGAUCCGGGCCUCAGCAGCUAUUGGACUUUAUCUGAAAAACUCAUACCCAGAGAUGAAAGAGAAUGUCAAGACAGCCUUGGCUUCAUUCCUCAACAGGCGGGUGGGCAAAUGGAUCACUGAGAAAGGUGGAUGGGUAAGUAAACUUUUAAGAUUCAGAUCACUUCAGAUUUAAGUCUAAAUAUGACAGUAAACCUCAACCAAAAAAGGUUGACUGGGGUAUUGAUGACAAGCUGCCGGAUGGACUGUGUCGAAACCUUUUCUUCUUCUUUUUUUGUUAAUGCAAUGACUCAAGAAUCUUGGGAUUUCCAAAUAUAUUUUUCUGUGUAUUAGAUGUUAAUCAUAAUAAGGUUGGAGGUCAGACACUGAAAAAAAUGACAGCUGAAGUAGCCUUUCAAUUGUCCCACUGCAAAUAUUGGUUAAACAAUAUGUUUAUGUAAAUACACUUGUAAUGAGUAAGAAUACCAUGGUAAUUUGGGGCUUUUAUUGAUUUCUUUGAACUGCUCUUUUUCCAGGGUGGAAUCACAGUAUUUGGGAUGUAUGCAGUACAGAUAUUCCACCCUGGUAAAAUAACAGUUCAAACAAAUAAUUAAAAUGAUAAGUGUAUGUAACCAAAGCUCUACAGAAGAGGAGAAAAGUAAGGGUCAGAGAGUCUUUUUGUAUAAAUGUUUCUAGUGUUUUAUUAAAAGGACACUGCACUUUGUCCUGAUUGAACUUGUUAAACCUGACGCACUUGGCAAAGUUACUGAGGCUAUACUGACUUACUCUACAGGAAAUUGCAGAUGACCUUGUUAUGCAGCAUUUUUACAACAUGAAAUGAACUUUUAUCUUAGAUGAUUUUCGAAUCCGUCGGUCAUUCUUAGUCUGUCUUUGACCUGAACCACAGUCUUAUUUUAGUUAAGUCAUCUUUAAUUUUGGAUUCAGUUGCAGUUCAAAAAAUGAUUAAAAGACCAUUAUUGUUGUAUUAUACACUUUGUGCAAUAUCUGAAAUGUUUCAGUGACAUAUACAAAUUCAUGUCUUUUCAUUGUGCGUGUUUUGUUACUUUUCAGGGCAAAGUUGCACCUGUUUGAGACUAAAUCCAGCCAAACCAACCUCAUAGAGCUCUACAAUCAAACUGGGUAUUAAUUUCUUAAAUGUCUGUUCAGGGUUUUGUUAUCACACAGGCAGACAUGUUAUCACACACUAAGCCUGUUUAUUAUAUGAGAGAGAAGGGGGGGAAAAAAACAGAACACUUUCUCAUUGAAGUUCCUGCUUGGCUGAGCCCAUGUAGUGAUUCUUGGCUUUAUAUGUGGUGGUAAAAUAAUUGUAUUACUUGAAAUGCUCUCCCUGAAUGGGUUAAUAAAUAAAGGGCAAAUAAUAUAAAAAUAUGAUACCAGCGGAUCUUCACUACAUCAUGAUCUUAAGGGAGAGUCUUUUGAGUAAUCAGUGGGGUAGCCUCUAAUCAUGUCUAUUUAUUGUCUUUCUAAGUGCUGUCUUUUGGGAAGCUCUAGCAUUUCUCAGUAAGGUGAAAAUGCUUAGAUUAAUUAACAUUAUUUAGUAAGUUUAGGUGUGUUUUGAAUUCUUAAUGGGGAAAAACCUUAAAAAAGGGAUUUGUCCCUUUUGCAAAACAUGUUAAGAUUUUGACUCCAUAUGUACCUUAAAUCAUACUCAUUACAUUUUGCUAUCUUUGAUCGAGCUCUAAAUUCAUGUGUUUGAAAACAGUUUAGUGAAAUGCAGGUAGUCUGUCAUAUCUUGAGCCAUCAGAUGAUGAAGAACCUGCUGUCAGGUUGUUAUUUUUAUGUCUGCAUUUUAUUUAAUUUUUUUCACGAUGACAUAUUUGCACUGGGAAAAACUGAACAACUUCAAAAGUAGGUACACACGUGUUGCCAUUAGGGAUGUGCCAAUUGCAUUAAAAUAUUAAUUUGUAUGUCAGCUGGUAAAAUAUUUUUUAUUUUCUUAUUUGUUUCUUCUUAAUGACUCUAAACAGUAGUGGUAUAUACUUAAAUGUAAUGGUUAAUCCAACAUUAUGGACAAGGGUUUUAAUUGAAAUUAUAUUUCUAAUGCUAAAGUGUAAUUCAUGUUAUCCGUGAAUUUUCAAAUUUGCUGUUUUACAAAAAUUCAGAAAAAAUAGUAAAGCACUUAAAAGAAAAAGAGACCAACGGAAAGAUUAGUUGUUAGUGCCGGCUCAAAUUAAGGUCAGUGAAUUCAUUAAUUUUAAGUAGGUUUUUGACAGGAUUUCUAAAAUAAUGUUUGUUUUUCUGUUUCGUCAAUGACUGCUUAAUCAAUUUUAAAAGCAUUUGUUAAGCACUGUAUCUUUAAAUUUAGGAAACUAGAUUAUACAGUGAUGGAUAAAAAAAACAGUUAAUGCUAGAUUUGCUGAUGGCAAUCAAUGAAGCAGAUAUUAGGAAAUCAUGGUUAUUGGUGCUGUACGAUGAUGUCAUUAAACCCAGCAACAAAAGCAAAAAGAUGAAGCAAAUAAAAAAUGAAUGUAUAUUUGCACAUUGUUGUCAGUUAAAAGUGCAACUAAGCUUUUUCUUUUUGUAAUUUUUCUAAUGAUUCAAUAAAAAAAGAAUUUGAAAAUCUU